Molecule: ribosomal RNA, 669 nt
Filed under: Arthrobacter sp.
Lineage: Bacteria; Bacillati; Actinomycetota; Actinomycetes; Micrococcales; Micrococcaceae
Description: bacterial SSU rRNA
Rfam family: Bacterial small subunit ribosomal RNA
Source: RNAcentral
UUUACUCCUUACGGGAGGCAGCAGUGGGGAAUAUUGCACAAUGGGCGCAAGCCUGAUGCAGCGACGCCGCGUGAGGGAUGACGGCCUUCGGGUUGUAAACCUCUUUCAGUAGGGAAGAAGCGAAAGUGACGGUACCUGCAGAAGAAGCGCCGGCUAACUACGUGCCAGCAGCCGCGGUAAUACGUAGGGCGCAAGCGUUAUCCGGAAUUAUUGGGCGUAAAGAGCUCGUAGGCGGUUUGUCGCGUCUGCCGUGAAAGUCCGGGGCUCAACUCCGGAUCUGCGGUGGGUACGGGCAGACUAGAGUGAUGUAGGGGAGACUGGAAUUCCUGGUGUAGCGGUGAAAUGCGCAGAUAUCAGGAGGAACACCGAUGGCGAAGGCAGGUCUCUGGGCAUUAACUGACGCUGAGGAGCGAAAGCAUGGGGAGCGAACAGGAUUAGAUACCCUGGUAGUCCAUGCCGUAAACGUUGGGCACUAGGUGUGGGGGACAUUCCACGUUUUCCGCGCCGUAGCUAACGCAUUAAGUGCCCCGCCUGGGGAGUACGGCCGCAAGGCUAAAACUCAAAGGAAUUGACGGGGGCCCGCACAAGCGGCGGAGCAUGCGGAUUAAUUCGAUGCAACGCGAAGAACCUUACCAAGGCUUGACAUGAACCGGAAAGGCCUGAAACCAG